GCUUAUCACCAUUCCAGAAUAAAUAUACCCGAUCUCGUCUGAUCUCGGAAGUCAAGCAAUCUCGAGCUUGGUUAGUACUUGGAGGGGUGACCGCUUGGGAAUACCAAGUGUGAUAAGCA
Ciona savignyi (Pacific transparent sea squirt) is the source of this 119-nucleotide non-coding RNA. The record is from Rfam. Lineage: Eukaryota; Metazoa; Chordata; Ascidiacea; Phlebobranchia; Cionidae.